GACGAACGCUGGCGGCGUGCUUAACACAUGCAAGUCGAACGGAGAAGCGCCUUCCUUGUUGGGGGGUGUGGAAGAGUGGCGAACGGGUGAGUAACACGGGAGUAACCUGGCCCCUGCUUCUGGAGAACCGCAUGAAAGAGGGGCUAAUACGGGAUAUUCUGGGUCUGUCGCAUGAUGGGUCUGGGAAAGAUAGUGUUGCGGUGGGGGAUGGGCUCGCGGCGUCUGAGCUUGUUGGUGGGGGGAGGGCCGACCACGGCGGUGACGGCUAGCCGGCCUGAGCGGGUGGCCCGUCACACUGUCAAUGCGACUCGGCCCGGACUCCUGCGGGCCGCAGCCGUGGGGCAUAUUGCCCACUGGGCUCAAGCCUGCUGCGGCCACGCCGCGUGAGGGAUGGCGCCCUUCGGGUUGUGAGCCUCUUUCGCCAGUGAAGCCCGCCUGCCUCGUUUGUGGUUGGGUUGACGGUAGCUGGAUAAGAAGCGCCGCCUAACUACGUG
RNAcentral lists this ribosomal RNA (494 nucleotides) under uncultured bacterium. RNAcentral's name for it is "partial 16S ribosomal RNA". It matches the Rfam family "Bacterial small subunit ribosomal RNA", at positions 28 to 507 of the family's 1533-position model. The record is from RNAcentral.